CCUACGGGUGGCAGCAGUGAGGAAUAUUGGUCAAUGGCCGGAAGGCUGAACCAGCCAAGCCGCGUGAAGGAUGAAUGCGCAGAGCGUCGCAGACCUCUUUUUCCGGGGGACAAAAGGCCGGACUCGUCCGGUCCUGAGGGUACCCGGGGAAAAAGCAUCGGCUAACUCCGUGCCAGCAGCCGCGGUAAUACGGAGGAUCCGAGCGUUAUCCGGAUUCAUUGGGUUUAAAGGGUGCGCAGGCGGGCCUUUAAGCCGGCGGUGAAAUCGCGGGGCUAAACCUCGCCGAGCCAUCGAUACUGGGGGUCUUGAGUACGGUGGAGGUAUGCGGAAUGCGUGGUGUAGCGGUGAAAUGCAUAGAUAUCGCGAAGAACCCCGAUUGCGAAGGCAGCGUGCUGUGCUGUGACUGACGUUGAGGCACGAAAGUGCGGGGAUCGAACAGGAUUAGAUACCCUAGUAGUC
Molecule: ribosomal RNA, 459 nt
Filed under: uncultured bacterium
Lineage: Bacteria
Description: partial 16S ribosomal RNA
Rfam family: Bacterial small subunit ribosomal RNA
Source: RNAcentral